Molecule: long non-coding RNA, 1023 nt
Filed under: Anas platyrhynchos platyrhynchos (common mallard)
Lineage: Eukaryota; Metazoa; Chordata; Aves; Anseriformes; Anatidae
Description: lncRNA (ENSAPLG00000028697.1)
Source: RNAcentral
UUCUGAAAAUGGGGACAGAAACACAACGACACCCCGUUUGUGUUGGGGUGCAGAAGUACCCCCAGUUUUUAGGCAGACCUCACCUUUUCCCUGCCACAAACCCGUACCUGCACAGAGCCCCUGGGUCGCACCCCCUGAAUCUCCAGGAGUCGGGCACAACUUACUACCACAAGCAGCUCCCAUUGGCAUGACAAACACUCUUGCGUCAGAGCAGACAGCACCGUAGCCGUGGCGUUUGAAGGACGGGAUCUUCACCACACGUCGGGCUGCGAUAUUUAGGGCCGGGGAACCCACGCGUGGCCCCACUUACCAUGGCAAUGUCUGCGGUGCUUUCACAGGGCGAGACGAGCGCGGUGCUCUCACAGCCAAGCCUUGCCAUCUCCCACAGCAGGCAUCCAAGGCGCUCAGCCUUUUCCCUGCAGAUCCUUCCCACCCUAAACACCCCGUGGGAUCGGGGCAGGGUGCUUCCCCACCACCCCACACCCCAGCAACGGGGGCACCCCCCUUCCCCACCACCCCGCCUGGCCACAAGACGCGGCUCCCUCUCGCCCCACCACCACCACCAGCACCUACCCGCAGGCCGCCGAGCCGCCGCCGGCCGCCAGCGGCCCCGUUUGCCGUCCCGGUGCCGGUCCCGGUGCGGGUCCCGGUGCGGGCGAGCCCCGCACACGCGGCGCCCCCCCCCCCCCCGCCCCGCCCCCGUCCCCGGCCCUGUCCCCGUCCCCGUCCCCCUCCCGCGGCUGUCGGCGGGGCGGCGCCGGGAGCCACCAGGAAGCGAGCGGCGGCCCCAGCCCCGGCCCCGGUCCCUCCCCGCCCCGCCCCGGGGCACGGGCACAGGGCGGGCAGCGGCUCCGCCAGCGGCUGGGGAGAAAUGAACUGAUUUUGGAGCUGCCCACAGCGGGGGCAGCGCGGCCACACGGGGCGGGCACCGGGACGGGGCUGGGGAGCACGACCCUGCCACAGCAAGGCCGCCGCAAAGACAACAAACGCUGUAAUUAACACUUUAAUUACUUAAUUCAUCAC